CGCGGGGUGGAGCAGUCUGGUAGCUCGUCGGGCUCAUAACCCGAAGGUCGUUGGUUCAAUCCAGCCCCCGCAACCA
RNAcentral lists this transfer RNA (76 nucleotides) under Pseudomonas aeruginosa. RNAcentral describes it as "tRNA-Met". It matches the Rfam family "tRNA". From Rfam's summary of the family: Transfer RNA (tRNA) molecules are approximately 80 nucleotides in length. The record is from RNAcentral. Lineage: Bacteria; Pseudomonadati; Pseudomonadota; Gammaproteobacteria; Pseudomonadales; Pseudomonadaceae.